Molecule: unclassified non-coding RNA, 424 nt
Filed under: soil metagenome
Description: partial contains 5.8S ribosomal RNA, internal transcribed spacer 2, and large subunit ribosomal RNA
Rfam family: 5.8S ribosomal RNA (bases 1-120)
Source: RNAcentral
GAUGAAGAACGUAGCGAAAUGCGAUAAGUAGUGUGAAUUGCAGAAUUCCGUGAAUCAUCGAAUCUUUGAACGCACAUUGCGCCUUCUGGUAUUCCGGAAGGCAUGCCUGUUCGAGAGUCAUUAACAACCGUUUCGAUCCCUUUCUUUCAGAAAUUACAAAGAGGAAAAGGGUUUGGUUAUGGUGGAGGAGGGAAAGGGAGCGUUUAGCCUGUAAAAAAAGAGGCUGCGUUCCGCCUCCCCCCCAAAAUUGUACAGGCGGUCGUGUGCGCCCACGCAUCGAGGUGUUGUAAAAGCUGCCACGGCACUUUUCACCUGUGCAGUGCGAGAUUGGCCAGCCGGUUUAAAAACCCCUCCAAACAAUCAAAGGUUGACCUCGGAUCAGGUAGGGAUACCCGCUGAACUUAAGCAUAUCAAUAGCGGAGGA